ACAUACGGCCAUACCUUUGGGUCAAAAUACCCGGUCCCGUUUGAUCCCGGCAAGUCAAGCCCAUAAGGGGCGGAUUAGUAGCUAGGUCGGUGACGACUAGCGAACACCGGCUGCUGUAUGUU
Molecule: ribosomal RNA, 122 nt
Filed under: Ophiocordyceps sinensis
Lineage: Eukaryota; Fungi; Ascomycota; Sordariomycetes; Hypocreales; Ophiocordycipitaceae
Also listed under: 1 other name
Source: RNAcentral